CAAGUCGAACGAUCUCGCAAGAGAUAGUGGCAAACGGGUGAGGAACACGUAAGUAAUCUUCCUCAAAGCCGAACAUAGCUUCGUGAAAACGGAGGUAAUUUUCGAUGUUGUUAUCUGGUCGCAUGAUCAGAUAACCAAAGGUGGGGACCUUCGGGCCUACCGCUUUGAGAUGAGCUUGCGUCCUAUCAGCUAGUUGGUGAGGUAACGGCUCACCAAGGCUUAUGACGGGUAGCUGGUCUGAGAGGAUGGUCAGCCACACUGGGACUGAGACACUGCCCAGACUCCUACGGGAGGCUGCAGUCGAGAAUCUUUAGCAAUGGACGAAAGUCUGACUAUGCGACGCCGCGUGCAGGAUGAAGGUCUUCGGAUUGUAAACUGCUUUUAUCAGGGAAGAAACUACCGACUUUAACAAAGUCGGAACUGACGGUACCUGAGGAAUAAGCCACGGCCAACUCCGUGCCAGCAGCCGCGGUAAUACGGAGGUGGCGAGCGUUACUCGGAAUCAUUGGGUGUAAAGGGCAGGUAGGCGGUCUAUUAAGUGAGGGGUGAAAUCUCCCGGCUCAAUCGGGAAACUGCCUUUCAAACUGAUAGACUUGAGUGUGAUAGGGGGAAGCGGAAUUAGCAGUGUAAGGGUGAAAUCUGUAGAUAUUGCUAAGAACACCAGCGGCGAAGGCGGCUUCCUGGAUCACAACCGACGCUGAUCUGCGAAAGCUAGGGGAGCAAACAGAAUUAGAUACUCUGGUAGUCCUAGCCGUAAACGAUGAAUACUAGGUGUUGGGCCGUAAGGCUCAGUGCCGCAGCUAACGCAUUAAGUAUUCCACCUGAGGACUACGAUCGCAAGAUUAAAACUCAAAGGAAUUGACGGGGACCCGCACAAGCGGUGGAACAUGUGGUUCAAUUCGAUGCUAC
Molecule: ribosomal RNA, 909 nt
Filed under: uncultured Bacillota bacterium
Lineage: Bacteria; Bacillati; Bacillota
Description: bacterial SSU rRNA
Rfam family: Bacterial small subunit ribosomal RNA
Source: RNAcentral